GACGCGGCGGUGAUUCCGUCGGGCGGAGCGGCGGCGUUUCCAUCGGGAGGAGUGGUGGCGAUUCCGUCCGGUGAUUGUGCAGUCCUGUUGCGCAGUUUGCGGGAGGUGAAGGUGUCUUUGGUUUGCUGGUGGCUACGACACGGCUGUGAAGUUGGAGCUGAUUUCGUCAUGGGUCAUAGAAAAAGAUCAAAAGUGGAUAUUUCUAGUGAAUCUAACAGUGACAAUGAUUGUAGUUUGAGUUCUGAUAAUCAUGAUGGUGAUGUUCAUUUAUCUAAUCAUGAUGAAAGUUCUGAUAAUCAUGACCAACAUUUUGAGGAAAAUGAUCCUUUGCUUCAUUUAACUAAAGAAGAGCUUAUGAAGAAAUUGAAAAUAAAGCUUGGUAAAAGGCCAUUACAGAUGACCAUAAAAAGAAGAGAAAAACCUUUGAGAAAGAUAACCAACAAGGGUAAUGAUCUUAUGAAACACCCUUCAAAAACUAAUUUUGGAAUGGUCCAAAAGAGUUUUUCUGGAGCAUCACUUGCUAGACCAAUUGAGAUAUGUGACAUGCUGUUUUUCCCAAUAUUGCAUUUGAGGCAUUGGUUUCUGUUUGUUGUUGAUUUGAAAGAUGAGAGUUUUGUUUUCAUUGACUCCUUAUUUGAAGAAGAAGAAGACUAUCAAUACAAUGCUAGAUGCAGACUGAUAUCAAAAUUUUCAAUUGUAUGGAGGAAAUUUGUCCCUGAACAUCCAAUUAACUUUGCUAGUUUCAAGAUAAUAUACCCACCUCGUCCAAGACAAACAAAUCGCCUUGAUUGUGGUAUUUUUACUCUGAAAUUCAUGGAAAUUUGGCGUCCAAGAGUUCUGCUAACCAACCAGUUCUCUCAAAAAGACAUUCCUAACAUAAGGGUUCAAUAUGUCAACAAAUUGUUUUUCCAUCCAUGCAACAUUGUGCUGAACUCUGCAACAAAGAAACUUGUUACUGACUAUUAUGCAAAGAUCUGA
This 978-nucleotide long non-coding RNA is filed under the name Oryza sativa Indica Group (long-grained rice). RNAcentral describes it as "lncRNA OsPr106_04g0024710". Lineage: Eukaryota; Viridiplantae; Streptophyta; Magnoliopsida; Poales; Poaceae. The record is from RNAcentral.